This 880-nucleotide ribosomal RNA is filed under the name Alternaria malorum. RNAcentral's name for it is "eukaryotic LSU rRNA". It matches the Rfam family "Eukaryotic large subunit ribosomal RNA", at positions 52 to 950 of the family's 3401-position model. The record is from RNAcentral. Lineage: Eukaryota; Fungi; Ascomycota; Dothideomycetes; Pleosporales; Pleosporaceae.
GGAGGAAAAGAAACCAACAGGGAUUGCCCUAGUAACGGCGAGUGAAGCGGCAACAGCUCAAAUUUGAAAUCUGGCUCUUUUAGAGUCCGAGUUGUAAUUUGCAGAGGGCGCUUUGGCUUUGGCAGCGGUCCAAGUUCCUUGGAACAGGACGUCACAGAGGGUGAGAAUCCCGUACGUGGUCGCUGGCUAUUGCCGUGUAAAGCCCCUUCGACGAGUCGAGUUGUUUGGGAAUGCAGCUCUAAAUGGGAGGUACAUUUCUUCUAAAGCUAAAUAUUGGCCAGAGACCGAUAGCGCACAAGUAGAGUGAUCGAAAGAUGAAAAGCACUUUGGAAAGAGAGUCAAACAGCACGUGAAAUUGUUGAAAGGGAAGCGCUUGCAGCCAGACUUGCUUGCAGUUGCUCAUCCGGGCUUUUGCCCGGUGCACUCUUCUGCAGGCAGGCCAGCAUCAGUUUGGGCGGUAGGAUAAAGGUCUCUGUCACGUACCUCUCUUCGGGGAGGCCUUAUAGGGGAGACGACAUACUACCAGCCUGGACUGAGGUCCGCGCAUCUGCUAGGAUGCUGGCGUAAUGGCUGUAAGCGGCCCGUCUUGAAACACGGACCAAGGAGUCUAACAUCUAUGCGAGUGUUUGGGUGUCAAGCCCGAGCGCGUAAUGAAAGUGAACGGAGGUAGGAACCCGCAAGGGUGCACUAUCGACCGAUCCUGAUGUCUUCGGAAGGAUUUGAGUAAGAGCAUGGCUGUUGGGACCCGAAAGAUGGUGAACUAUGCUUGAAUAGGGUGAAGCCAGAGGAAACUCUGGUGGAGGCUCGCAGCGGUUCUGACGUGCAAAUCGAUCGUCAAAUUUGGGCAUAGGGGCGAAAGACUAAUCGAACUAUCUAGUAG